RNAcentral lists this unclassified non-coding RNA (279 nucleotides) under plant metagenome. RNAcentral's name for it is "partial contains small subunit ribosomal RNA, internal transcribed spacer 1, and 5.8S ribosomal RNA". The record is from RNAcentral.
UUUCCGUAGGUGAACCUGCGGAAGGAUCAUUACUGAGUGAGGGCCCCUCGGGGUCCAACCUCCCACCCGUGUUUAACGAACCUUUUUGCUUCGGCGGGCCCGCCUCACGGCCGCCGGGGGGCAUCUACCCCCGGCCCCGCGCCCGCCGAAGCCACCUGAGAACGCUGUCCGGAGUAUGAAGUCUGAGACAAAUAACUAACUACAUCAAACUUUCUACAACGGACCUCUUGGUUCAGGCAUGGAUGAAGAACGCAGCAGAUCGUAAACUCCCACCUCUGG